RNAcentral lists this ribosomal RNA (505 nucleotides) under uncultured bacterium. RNAcentral's name for it is "bacterial SSU rRNA". It matches the Rfam family "Bacterial small subunit ribosomal RNA", at positions 15 to 518 of the family's 1533-position model. The record is from RNAcentral.
GAUCAUGGCUCAGGAUGAACGCUGGCGGCGUGCUUAACACAUGCAAGUCGAACGGAGUUAGUAAGAAAGCGGAGCUUGCUCCAAUGGAAGAUUAAACUUAGUGGCGGACGGGUGAGUAACGCGUGGGUAACCUGCCUUGCACAGGGGGACAACAGUUGGAAACGACUGCUAAUACCGCAUAAGCCGGUAGGACCGCAUGGUCCAUCCGGAAAAGGUUUAUCGGUGCAAGAUGGGCCCGCGUUGGAUUAGUUAGUUGGCGGGUAACGGCCCACCAAGACUGCGAUCCAUAGCCGACCUGAGAGGGUGAUCGGCCACAUUGGGACUGAGACACGGCCCAAACUCCUACGGGAGGCAGCAGUGGGGAAUAUUGCGCAAUGGGGGAAACCCUGACGCAGCAAACGCCGCGUGAGUGAGGAAGUAUUUCGGUAUGUAAAGCUCUAUCAGCAGGGAAGAAGAUGACGGUACCUGCAGAAGAAGUCCCGGCUAACUACGUGCCAGCCGCAGC